GUCAGGAUAGCUCAGAAUGUCAGUCACGGUACGUG
RNAcentral lists this transfer RNA (35 nucleotides) under Leymus chinensis. RNAcentral describes it as "partial tRNA-Phe". Lineage: Eukaryota; Viridiplantae; Streptophyta; Magnoliopsida; Poales; Poaceae. The record is from RNAcentral.